This 95-nucleotide transfer RNA is filed under the name Podarcis lilfordi (Lilford's wall lizard). Its description in RNAcentral is "tRNA.Ile". The stretch from base 8 to 81 matches the Rfam family "tRNA", at positions 8 to 63 of the family's 71-position model. Rfam says of the family: Transfer RNA (tRNA) molecules are approximately 80 nucleotides in length. Their secondary structure includes four short double-helical elements and three loops (D, anti-codon, and T loops). Lineage: Eukaryota; Metazoa; Chordata; Lepidosauria; Squamata; Lacertidae. The record is from RNAcentral.
AACUGGAUAGCUCAGUUGGUUAGAGCAUGGUACUGAUAACGCCAAGGUUGCAGGUUCAAUGGGGCGGCUGCAUAUUCCUGCAUUGCCUGGGGUUG